Molecule: unclassified non-coding RNA, 378 nt
Filed under: uncultured Alphaproteobacteria bacterium
Lineage: Bacteria; Pseudomonadati; Pseudomonadota; Alphaproteobacteria
Description: contains 16S-23S intergenic spacer region
Source: RNAcentral
UCCGGCUUAUCACCGGCAGUCUCGUCAGAGUGCCCAACUUAAUGAUGGCAACAGACGACAAGGGUUGCGCUCGUUGCGGGACUUAACCCAACAUCUCACGACACGAGCUGACGACAGCCAUGCAGCACCUGUAUCCGGUCCAACUAAAUGAAGAGGUGCAUCUCUGCUCCUCCCAACCGGUAUGUCAAGGGGUGGUAAGGUUCUUCGCGUUGCUUCGAAUUAAACAACAUACUCCACCGCUUGUGCGGGUCCCCGUCAAUUCCUUUGAGUUUUAAUCUUGCGACCGUACUCCCCAGGCGGUGUGUUUAAUGCUUUCGCUAUGUCACCGAGACCGUAAGAUCCCGACAACUAACACACAUCGUUUACAGCGUGGACUAC